GACGAACGCUGGCGGCGUGCUUAACACAUGCAAGUCGAACGGAAAGGCCCUGCUUUUGUGGGGUGCUCGAGUGGCGAACGGGUGAGUAACACGUGAGUAACCUGCCCUUGACUUUGGGAUAACUUCAGGAAACUGGGGCUAAUACCGGGUAGGAGCUCCUGCUGCAUGGUGGGGGUUGGAAAGUUUCGGCGGUUGGGGAUGGACUCGCGGCUUAUCAGCUUGUUGGUGGGGUAGUGGCUUACCAAGGCUUUGACGGGUAGCCGGCCUGAGAGGGUGACCGGCCACAUUGGGACUGAGAUACGGCCCAGACUCCUACGGGAGGCAGCAGUGGGGAAUAUUGCACAAUGGGCGGAAGCCUGAUGCAGCAACGCCGCGUGCGGGAUGACGGCCUUCGGGUUGUAAACCGCUUUCGCCUGUGACGAAGCGUGAGUGACGGUAAUGGGUAAAGAAGCACCGGCUAACUACGU
This 467-nucleotide ribosomal RNA is filed under the name uncultured bacterium. RNAcentral's name for it is "partial 16S ribosomal RNA". It matches the Rfam family "Bacterial small subunit ribosomal RNA", at positions 28 to 506 of the family's 1533-position model. The record is from RNAcentral.